RNAcentral lists this ribosomal RNA (275 nucleotides) under uncultured Chryseobacterium sp. RNAcentral's name for it is "partial 16S ribosomal RNA". It matches the Rfam family "Bacterial small subunit ribosomal RNA", at positions 338 to 610 of the family's 1533-position model. Lineage: Bacteria; Pseudomonadati; Bacteroidota; Flavobacteriia; Flavobacteriales; Weeksellaceae. The record is from RNAcentral.
CCUACGGGUGGCUGCAGUGAGGAAUAUUGGACAAUGGGUGCAAGCCUGAUCCAGCCAUCCCGCGUGAAGGACGACGGCCCUAUGGGUUGUAAACUUCUUUUGUAUAGGGAUAAACCUUUCCACGUGUGGAAAGCUGAAGGUACUAUACGAAUAAGCACCGGCUAACUCCGUGCCAGCAGCCGCGGUAAUACGGAGGGUGCAAGCGUUAUCCGGAUUUAUUGGGUUUAAAGGGUCCGUAGGCGGAUCUGUAAGUCAGUGGUGAAAUCUCAUAGCUU